GCCUACGGGAGGCAGCAGUCGGGAAUUUUGGGCAAUGGGCGAAAGCCUGACCCAGCAACGCCGCGUGAAGGAUGAAAUCCCUCGGGAUGUAAACUUCGCAAGAACGGGAAGAAUAAGUAAGGGUUAAUAUCCCUUGCGAUGACGGUACUGUUUGUAAGCUCCGGCUAACUCCGUGCCAGCAGCCGCGGUAAU
This 192-nucleotide ribosomal RNA is filed under the name uncultured soil bacterium. RNAcentral's name for it is "partial 16S ribosomal RNA". It matches the Rfam family "Bacterial small subunit ribosomal RNA", at positions 337 to 524 of the family's 1533-position model. The record is from RNAcentral.